AGUGAACGCUGGCGGUAGGCCUAACACAUGCAAGUCGAACGGCAGCACAGUAAGAGCUUGCUCUUACGGGUGGCGAGUGGCGGACGGGUGAGGAAUACAUCGGAAUCUACUUUUUCGUGGGGGAUAACGUAGGGAAACUUACGCUAAUACCGCAUACGACCUACGGGUGAAAGCAGGGGAUCUUCGGACCUUGCGCGAUUGAAUGAGCCGAUGUCGGAUUAGCUAGUUGGCGGGGUAAAGGCCCACCAAGGCGACGAUCCGUAGCUGGUCUGAGAGGAUGAUCAGCCACACGGGAACUGAGACACGGUCCAGACUCCUACGGGAGGCAGCAGUGGGGAAUAUUGGACAAUAGGCGCAAGCCUGAUCCAGCCAUACCGCGUGGGUGAAGAAGGCCUUCGGGUUGUAAAGCCCUUUUGUUGGGAAAGAAAAGCAGCAGGUUAAUACCCCGCUGUUCUGACGGUACCCAAAGAAUAAGCACCGGCUAACUUCGUG
RNAcentral lists this ribosomal RNA (492 nucleotides) under uncultured bacterium. Its description in RNAcentral is "partial 16S ribosomal RNA". It matches the Rfam family "Bacterial small subunit ribosomal RNA", at positions 29 to 507 of the family's 1533-position model. The record is from RNAcentral.